Molecule: vault RNA, 105 nt
Filed under: Carassius auratus (goldfish)
Lineage: Eukaryota; Metazoa; Chordata; Actinopteri; Cypriniformes; Cyprinidae
Description: Vault RNA (ENSCARG00000045349.1)
Rfam family: Vault RNA
About the family: This family of RNAs are found as part of the enigmatic vault ribonucleoprotein complex. The complex consists of a major vault protein (MVP), two minor vault proteins (VPARP and TEP1), and several small untranslated RNA molecules.
Source: Rfam by way of RNAcentral
GCGUUGGUUUAGCUCAGUGGUUACUUCUCGCAACUAAAACAUUGCUCAUAGCCGUCGGUUCACUGAUGGCUGGAGAUCGAACCACGGGCUCAGUCCAGCGUUUUG